GCCCGGCUUUUACAGGUUAUUUUUUGAAGAAGAGUUUUAAAGCACUGACUUUGAAUUGCCAAACAAACAUGUGUGAAAAAGAAGAUGACAUAAACCUUAAAAAGAGCCUGAAACUACAUUGUAGAAUAUGGGUGAAAUACAAAACAAGUCUUGAAACAGAAAAAAAUGACAACUUAUGUUCUCCAGUAUUAUAGUGUGAAGUACUUGACAAUGUCUUAGGUCAAAAGUACAUAAUUAUAUUUGGUUAGAAAGAGGCUAAUGCUGAGUGCUAUGUAUCAUGUUGAAUGCUCAAAGUGGUUAUCUGGUUUUUUCAGAAGAUAGAUUCUAAAAGAGUCCUUUAAGCUUAACAAGUAGAACAUUGAAAAAAAAAGUACAAGGCUAGUCAUUAUAAUAUUUUCAAAUCAUGCCAACUUUCAAAAAUAGUUAUAUGUUAUUUAUUCUUUGACCAUUUUCUUUGACAAUUCUAUACUUGUAAACUACAUUCUUGAGCAUAUCCACACCCGGCUCCUCUUGUCUCUGCAUUGAGGCCAGUUUGUGCUGCAUUCUGGAAUGAUGAUUGGUCUUUUGAUCAUGUGGGUCUUGUUCAGAUAACUAUAGUUGCAGUGAUAUCCUAGAGCAAUGCCCAUGUCCUAUCCAGAAGACAGUAGUUUGUUGCACUUCUCCCUAUCCUGCAGCUCUUACAUAUUUUCUGUUCACUUCUCAGUGUUCCCUGAGCCUUGUAGUAGAGAGGCUCUCCACACCUCUUCAGUUCCAGGUUAAAGAGAAUCUGAACACAGAUGACCCUAACUUACAGAACUGAGUGACUGCCACAAAAGACAGAUACUACAUGCUUUAUAAACUAGUUGCUGGAAGCUACUAAAUAUGGCAGCAGUGUCCUAUAACAAAAAACAAACCUAAAGAAAGGAGAGACUCCAAUCUCUAGGGCUGCCACAUUAUGUUAAAAUUAAAAUGUUCAGUUACAACAAAGUAUGCGACAUGUAAAGGAAGCAGAGCUGAUUCACAAAAACAGAUGAAAUAACAAUGUCUAUGAAGAAGCACAGUAUUAAACUUAGUAGCCAAGACUAUCAAGUGCUUAAAUAUGCUUAAUUAGUCAAAUUACAAGGAAAUCAGAAUAAUAAUGUAUACUGCAAAUGGAGAAUAUCAGCAAAGAGAAAGAACAAUUUAAUGCAGUAGCCAAAAUAAUCUUGAGCAGAAUAAGCAAAGUUGGAGAAACCGUGAAAACUGACUUCAGAUUCUACUGUUAAGUCAUAGCAGCAAAAACAAGAUGUAACGUGACAAAAGAACAAACAUGUAGAUCACUGGAAUAGGAUAGCGGACUCCGAAGUGUACUCAUGCAUCCACUGCCACUUGAGUCUGACAAAGAUACUGAAAAUUCAUUGAAGGAAAAAGAGGGAAGAAUGAACCAAAAACAAUGAACAAACAUCCAUGCUCCAAAUAUCUUGAGCUAAGUGGUGUUGAGUAAAGUUGAUGUUCAUAUAUAAUAUCUCAGUCUGUGCAAGAAUCAAUCCAAAACAAUUCAGGGACUUAAUGUAAAAUCUGAAACUGCUAGAGGCAAACACUUGAAGUUGUAGAUAUAUAGGUAAAGACUCCAUGAAAAGAGUUUCAGUAGGUGAGGAAGUAAUAGCAAGACUUGACAAGAAUGGUUGCAUGAUAUUUAAAAAAACCUCCUACAUAGCUCUGCAUACAAUUCUCAGUAAAGUGACACUUUACAGAACAAGAAAACAUGGUCCCCUAUACCAAUGACAGGUGAUUAAUAUUUAGAAUAUAUAGAAGUCCAGAAGUUAAAUAUCAAAGACAAGUCUCAAUCAAUAACUAGGCCAUUGAACCCAUAAUUCUCG
Molecule: long non-coding RNA, 1838 nt
Filed under: Mus musculus (house mouse)
Lineage: Eukaryota; Metazoa; Chordata; Mammalia; Rodentia; Muridae
Description: long non-coding RNA chr7:114464050-114465888
Source: RNAcentral